This 520-nucleotide ribosomal RNA is filed under the name uncultured bacterium. Its description in RNAcentral is "partial 16S ribosomal RNA". It matches the Rfam family "Bacterial small subunit ribosomal RNA", at positions 28 to 507 of the family's 1533-position model. The record is from RNAcentral.
GACGAACGCUGGCGGCGUGCCUAAUACAUGCAAGUCGAACGCACUCUCGUUUAGAUUGAAGGAGUUUGCUCCUGAUUGAUAAACAUUUGAGUGAGUGGCGGACGGGUGAGUAACACGUGGGUAACCUGCCCUAAAGUGGGGGAUAACAUUUGGAAACAGAUGCUCAUACCGCAUAAAACCUAACACCGCCUGGUGUAGGGUUGAAAGAUGGUUUCGGCUAUCACUUUAGGAUGGACCCGCGGUGCAUUAGUUAGUUGGUGAGGUAAAGGCUCACCAAGACCGUGAUGCAUAGCCGACCUGAGAGGGUAAUCGGCCACACGGGGACUGAGACACGGCCCAGACUCCUACGGGAGGCAGCAGUAGGGAAUCUUCCACAAUGGACGAAAGUCUGAUGGAGCAACGCCGCGUGAGUGAAGAAGGUUUUCGGAUCGUAAAACUCUGUUGUUGGAGAAGAAUGUAUCUGAUAGUAACUGAUCAGGUAGUGACGGUAUCCAACCAGAAAGCCACGGCUAACUACGUG